RNAcentral lists this long non-coding RNA (550 nucleotides) under Pan troglodytes (chimpanzee). RNAcentral describes it as "lincRNA". The record is from RNAcentral. Lineage: Eukaryota; Metazoa; Chordata; Mammalia; Primates; Hominidae.
AAACAGAUUUCCAUAAAGAAAAGCUGCUUUAGAGUGCUACACUGUAAGAGGGGCUGGGCAAACAAGAAGGGACGGAGGAAAGACCACCAAGUGAGAGGCACAGGUGUCAGGACAAACAGAGAGCCCGAAAACGAGGCAGAGUUUGGCUGCUGUAACUGACUGGGAAGCUUAAAAUAACAGACAAUCAUCUCUCACAUUUAUGGGGACUGGGAAGUCCAAGACCAAGUUGCCAUCUGGGGAGGGCCUGUUCCUCACAGCGCCUUCCAGCUCAGGCCUCGUUUAUAAGGGCACUCAUCCCUUCCACGACAACGGGUCCUCAUGACUUACUCACCUCGGAAAGCCCCCACCCCCAAGACCAUCACAUUGUGGGUGAGGAUUUCAACAUGAGAAUUUGGGGGCUGCAAACAAUUACACCAUGGCAGAGCAUAAGGUGCCUUCCCCACGUGCUCGGGUUGACCCAACGUCUCACGCUAGCAGCUACGUGGAAUAGUUAUUUUUUCUGGAGAACUCGGGGACCCCUCUGAUGUCUUGGAGCACCCACACAGGCCGU